Long non-coding RNA from Cyprinus carpio carpio, 624 nucleotides. The record is from Ensembl. Lineage: Eukaryota; Metazoa; Chordata; Actinopteri; Cypriniformes; Cyprinidae.
AGAUUGGACAUUAUAUGUCUGAGUUAUAGCAACUUCCUUUUUCAUGGCGAAACAUCGAAAUUCGUCAGGCCGCCACGGACACGCCCUUCAACGAAAACUCAAGAUCUUCGCAAUUUAACAUCGCAAAGGCCUUUAGAUUAGGCAUACCAAAUUUGGUGUUGAUCUGAAUUAAUCUCUAGGAGGAGUUCGUUGAAAUACAAGGCAUGCAAAUGACAAAAAUGAUGCAAAAUUUGCUCAUAAAAUUAAAAAUAACCGACUUCCUGUUGGGUUUCGGAUAUUGCUCCAAGAGUCUUUUUUGUAGGUACUGAUGCUUUACAUAUGUGUGCCAAUUUUCGUGCAUGUACGUGAAACACAGCUCGAGGGCUGUUGAUUUUUUUACGAUAGGUGGCGCUGUCGAGCCAUUUUGCCACACCCUCUUCUGAAACCUAUAUCAGACGUAAAUUUUCACCAGGUCUGACGCGUGUGCAAAGUUUCAGGACUUUUCGAGCAUGUUUAGGCCCUCAAAAAUGCGAUUCAUUUUGGAGAAGAAGAAGAAGAAGAAGAAGAAGAAGAAGAAGAAGAAGAAGAAUAAACGAAGCAGAUACAAGAGGGUCCUCACACCAUCGGUGCUCGGGCCCUAAUAAU